Molecule: ribosomal RNA, 1164 nt
Filed under: Triticum aestivum (bread wheat)
Lineage: Eukaryota; Viridiplantae; Streptophyta; Magnoliopsida; Poales; Poaceae
Description: partial small subunit ribosomal RNA
Source: RNAcentral
AUGCGCAUGGAGGGUGGAGGCGCCGGGGCAGGAGGAGGAGGUCACGGCGGCGGCCAUGGCCUCGGCGGCGAGGCGCAGAUCAAGGGCACGCUCACCCACGGCGGCAGGUACGUGCAGUACAACGUCUACGGCAACCUCUUUGAGGUCUCUGCUAAGUACGUCCCACCCAUCCGACCUGUCGGCCGCGGCGCCUGCGGCAUCAUCUGCGCUGCUGUAAAUGCACAGACUCGUGAGGAGGUCGCUAUCAAAAAGAUAGGUAAUGCGUUUGACAACCAGAUCGAUGCCAAACGCACUUUGCGAGAAGUAAAGCUGCUUCGCCACAUGAAUCAUGAGAAUGUGAUUUCAAUAAAGGACAUCAUACGCCCACCAAGGCGGGAGAACUUCAACGAUGUUUACAUCGUCUAUGAACUGAUGGACACUGAUCUUCACCACCUUCUAAGAUCAAACCAGCCACUCACGGAUGAUCACUGUCAGUAUUUUCUCUACCAAGUGCUCCGAGGAUUGAAGUAUGUGCAUUCAGCAAAGGUCUUGCACCGGGACCUCAGACCGAGCAACCUGCUGCUCAAUGCUAAGUGUGAACUCAAGAUUGGAGAUUUUGGCUUGGCUAGGACCACGACUGAGACUGACUUCAUGAUGGAGUAUGUUGUUACUCGGUGGUACAGGGCACCGGAGCUCCUGCUCAACUGCUCGGAGUACACUGCAGCAAUUGAUAUCUGGUCAGUGGGUUGCAUCCUCGGUGAGAUUGCUAUGAGGGAGCCACUGUUUCCUGGAAAAGAUUAUGUUCAUCAGCUGAGGCUAAUUACUGAGCUGAUAGGCUCACCAGAUGACACGAGCCUUGGGUUUCUUCGAAGUGAUAAUGCCCGCAGAUACGUGAGGUCUCUUCCUCAAUACCCGAAACAGCAUUUUGGUUCACGGUUCCCCAGUAUGUCCACUGGCGCCAUGGAUUUGCUUGAGAGGAUGCUCGUAUUUGAUCCGAGCAAGAGGAUUACUGUUGAUGAGGCUCUAUGCCAUCCUUAUUUAGCAUCCCUUCAUGAGAUAAAUGAUGAACCUGUCUGCCCAGCGCCUUUCAGCUUCGACUUCGAACAGCCAUCAUUUACUGAGGAAGAUAUCAAAGAACUCAUUUGGAGGGAGGCUCUCAAGUUCAACCCUGAACCAAUUCACUGA